Camelina sativa (false flax) is the source of this 154-nucleotide non-coding RNA. Lineage: Eukaryota; Viridiplantae; Streptophyta; Magnoliopsida; Brassicales; Brassicaceae. The record is from RefSeq and is a predicted model, not a curated record.
AGUUGGCACUCCAAUAAAGCUUCUAGGUCGUGAUGAUGUUAGCGUGGAUUGGUAUAUUCUUGAAAAUUCCAAGACGGUGAAGGCGUUUCGUUGUGGAGAGUAUGAUACUUGCAUUGAGAAGGCAAAGGCUGCUGCAGCAGCGAGCUCUGCUAAU